This is an RNA transcript of Solenopsis invicta (red fire ant), 1156 nucleotides long. RefSeq lists it as uncharacterized. The transcript is spliced from 3 exons. Lineage: Eukaryota; Metazoa; Arthropoda; Insecta; Hymenoptera; Formicidae. The record is from RefSeq and is a predicted model, not a curated record.
AGUAACGUAAAAUACAGCCUUUUGAUUGUAGUAGUUUUAGAACGCAGUAACUCUGAUGGCUAAUAAAACUUAGAGUACCGCUAGUAAAACUAGAGGUACUAUAGUAAAACUAGAGAUACUCUAGUAAAACUAGAGAUACUCUAGUAAAACUAGAGAUACUCUAGUAAAACUAGAGGUACUCUAGUAAAACUUGGCAAAACUUUUGCUUAGUUGUUUUUCAAACUUUACGCCAUGCAGUAGUUUACGUGUUUAAAAAAUGGCGUCGUAUAGCGAUAACGAGAAAGAUUUUUGUGUUCUUCAAUUUCAACAAAAUCAGCCCGUUGACAUUAUUCAACAGAAUUUUCGCACGGAAUUUGGAAAAGAUCCGCCCUCUGUUGAGUCUAUUGGCGCGUGGUAUGCAAAAUUUAAUGAGGAAAAAUUUAAUGAGGGAGAACAAAUUCUCCCUCAUGAAAAUGAAGGAGAAAUCAAUAAGACAGGAGAUAAAAAAGAAAACACAGCUUCCCCCAAUCAAAGAAAUUCCACUAGUUCAGAUUGGUCUAACAUCUUGGAUAUAAGCUUCUUGGAUUUAUUCUUUUUUUCCCUAAUGAAGAACAAAAAAUGAUCAUGGUACCCGAAUUUUGGCCUUGAAAUCGGCAGAAAAGAACAAAACGAUGAAUAAUUUGAAUAGCUUAUGGCUUAAGAAUAGCUUAUGUAAAGUGACAAUUUGCUGCAGUUUUAGGUAAAAAAGCACUUUUAAAUGAUUUCAGACAUCCUGUUGGCUUGGUGUUGUGGCUCUUAUGAUAACUGUUGCAAUCACUGUUGCAAUGACUGCUGUAAUGACUGCCUAGGUGAUUGCGAUUGUUCUGGUUGCGACUGUUCUGGUAGCGACUGUUUUGAAUAAUUGACUAAUCUUGAAGCUCAGAGUUCAUGAAGUAAACGUGAUAGCACCUCUCUCCACUGCAUCUAUCAAAACGGCAAAAACAAGAUUAGACAACAGAAGACAAAUAUUUAAAGGUCAUUAGAGACCUCUAAGAAAUCUUAAAAAAAACAUUAAGUAUGUUUUUUUAUGUAGCACAUAUGUUGUAAUAUGUAAUCUAAUAUUCUAUAAUAAUGUAUCAAAAUAUUCUGUAUCAUAAUAUUUUAUAAUAUAUCUGUUGUAUCCUUUUAAUAGCAAAGC